UACGAGAGGUCCAAACGUUAUUCGGAAUCACUGGGCUUACAGAGUUCGUAGGCGGUUCUACAAGUGGGGUGUGAAAGCCCUCGGCUCAACCGAGGAAUUGCGCUCCAAACUGUAGAACUAGAGGAAGAUAGAGGUGAGCGGAACUGAUGGUGGAGCGGUGAAAUGCGUUGAUAUCAUCAGGAACACCGGAGGCGAAGGCGGCUCACUGGGUCUUUUCUGACGCUGAGGAACGAAAGCUAGGGGAGCAAACGGG
This 253-nucleotide ribosomal RNA is filed under the name uncultured Pasteuria sp. Its description in RNAcentral is "partial 16S ribosomal RNA". It matches the Rfam family "Bacterial small subunit ribosomal RNA", at positions 524 to 776 of the family's 1533-position model. The record is from RNAcentral. Lineage: Bacteria; Bacillati; Bacillota; Bacilli; Caryophanales; Pasteuriaceae.